UCCGCUCCACACGAUAGAAAUAUUGAGCAUGUGGCCAUCCAAAGGAGGAUGUAACGCCAGUAGUUGAGUUUGGUUGGGAUAUACCAAAUGUUGACUACAUCAAUGGUGU
RNAcentral lists this small RNA (109 nucleotides) under unclassified sequences. Its description in RNAcentral is "COG3943 RNA". It matches the Rfam family "COG3943 RNA". Rfam says of the family: cow rumen. The record is from Rfam by way of RNAcentral.